Molecule: ribosomal RNA, 468 nt
Filed under: uncultured bacterium
Lineage: Bacteria
Description: partial 16S ribosomal RNA
Rfam family: Bacterial small subunit ribosomal RNA
Source: RNAcentral
GACGAACGCUGGCGGCGUGCUUAACACAUGCAAGUCGAACGGAAAGGCCCUGCUGUUGUGGGGUGCUCGAGUGGCGAAAGGAUGAGUAACACGUGAGUAACCUGCCCUUGACUUUGGGAUAACUUCAGGAAACUGGGGCUAAUACCGGAUAGGAGCUCCUGCUUCAUGGUGGGGGUUGGAAAGUUUCGGCGGUUGGGGAUGGACGCGCGGCUUAUCAGCUUGUUGGUGGGGUAGUGGCUUACCAAGGCUUUGACGGGUAGCCGGCCUGAGAGGGUGACCGGCCACAGUGGGACUGAGAUACGGCCCAGACGCCUACGGGAGGCAGCAGUGGGGAAUAUUCCACAAUGGGCGGAACCCCGAUGCAGCAACGCCGCUUGCGAGAUGACGGCCUUCGGGUUGUAAACCGCUUUCGCCUGUGACGAAGCGUGAGUGACGGUAAUGGGUAAAGAAGCGCCGGCUAACUACGUG